AGCUUCAGUAGCGUAUAUUAAAGUUGUUGCAGUUAAAAAGCUCGUAGUCGCAUUUCUGGCGAGAGGAUCCGGUCCGACCUUUUGGUGGGUUCUUGGGUCUCUUUCGCCAUCCUUGAGUGGUCCGUUCUGGCAUUAGGUUGUCGGAGCGUCAGCCGCUCAUCGUUUACUGUGAGAAAAUUAGAGUGUUCAAAGCAGGCUUAUGCUGUUGAAUAUAUUAGCAUGGAAUAAUAAGAUAGGACCUCGGUACUAUUUUGUUGGUUUGCGUAUCAAGGUAAUGAUGAACAGGGACAGUUGGGGGUAUUUGUAUUUCGUUGUCAGAGGUGAAAUUCUUAGAUUUACGAAAGACAAACUACUGCGAAAGCAUUUACCAAGGAUGUUUUCA
Molecule: ribosomal RNA, 382 nt
Filed under: uncultured marine Chaetocerotaceae
Lineage: Eukaryota; Bacillariophyta; Thalassiosirophyceae; Chaetocerotales; Chaetocerotaceae
Description: SSU rRNA
Rfam family: Eukaryotic small subunit ribosomal RNA
Source: RNAcentral